GUGGGGAAUCUUCCGCAAUGGACGAAAGUCUGACGGAGCAACGCCGCGUGAGUGAUGAAGGUCUUCGGAUUGUAAAGCUCUGUUAAUCGGGACGAAAGAGCCUAGUGUGAAUAAUGCUAGGAAGUGACGGUACCGGAAUAGAAAGCCACGGCUAACUACGUGCCAGCAGCCGCGGUAAUACGUAGGUGGCAAGCGUUGUCCGGAAUUAUUGGGCGUAAAGCGCGCGCAGGCGGAUCUGCCAGUCUGUCUUAAAAGUUCGGGGCUUAACCUCGUGAUGGGAUGGAAACUACAGAUCUAGAGUAUCGGAGAGGAAAGUGGAAUUCCUAGUGUAGCGGUGAAAUGCGUAGAUAUUAGGAAGAACACCAGUGGCGAAGGCGACUUUCUGGACGAAAACUGACGCUGAGGCGCGAAAGCCAGGGGAGCGAACGGGAUUAGAUACCCUAGUAGUCC
This 450-nucleotide ribosomal RNA is filed under the name uncultured bacterium. RNAcentral describes it as "partial 16S ribosomal RNA". It matches the Rfam family "Bacterial small subunit ribosomal RNA", at positions 354 to 796 of the family's 1533-position model. The record is from RNAcentral.